This 775-nucleotide long non-coding RNA is filed under the name Rhinopithecus bieti (black snub-nosed monkey). RNAcentral describes it as "lncRNA (ENSRBIG00000046611.1)". Lineage: Eukaryota; Metazoa; Chordata; Mammalia; Primates; Cercopithecidae. The record is from RNAcentral.
AUGGAGGAUGCACUGGGCAAUGUCUUAAAGCCCCAGUUAACUGGGGGUGCAGUGAGGAGCUGUGGAGGGUUUCAUGAGCUGGUGCUGCCCCAGAUGCAGGGUCGACACCACCCUUCUGUGUCUGUUCCCCUAUGCUUAGCAUCCUGUGUGACCCGGAGUGGAUGCCCCGUGUGCAUGAUGAUGCUGGGUAGGUCAGCCUCGUGUGCUGCAGGCCGCACGACAGCAGGGAAGGCCACAGGCCUGGCUCGACAACUCGCCAUUGCUGCCCAGCUGCCUUGCCAUGAAGUUCCCAAAUCUGAAAGCCGUUCAUCAAAAGUGCAGAAUAAUAUUCUGUACUUACAUGUGACUUUAGUUAAUAAUCUUCGCUUGUCUACUCUUUAAAUAUCUGUAGAUUAGAAAGGUGUUUUUGGUCAAAAGUAAAAAUCUAACCCGGCAUUUCGCAUGGCACGUUGGCGUUCCUGUCUCAUUUGUGUUGCUGUGAGGUGCUGGGAUCUGCGUCACUGUGUGUCUGGGGGCAUGGAGACUGCUGGCCCCAGGACUUCUUUGCCAUUGUUCUAUUAAAAAUUCCUGACAUUCCCAGAACACUGCAGGGGUUUCUCACCCCUGUCAUGGGUUUUCUAAAGGCUGAUUCCAGGCUGGGUCCAGGCACUUUUGUCCAGACGCAAAGAGGUGGAACCUGCCAAGCCUCCCAGGGCCCCUUGGAGGCAGGAGGCCCCUCUCUGGCAGGCUCCAAGUGCCUCCCCGCCACCACCACCAUUAUGCAGCCUGGAGUGGG